RNAcentral lists this ribosomal RNA (689 nucleotides) under Vibrio sp. MMD09. RNAcentral describes it as "bacterial SSU rRNA". It matches the Rfam family "Bacterial small subunit ribosomal RNA", at positions 822 to 1533 of the family's 1533-position model. The record is from RNAcentral. Lineage: Bacteria; Pseudomonadati; Pseudomonadota; Gammaproteobacteria; Vibrionales; Vibrionaceae.
AAUUGUGGCCUUGAGCCGUGGCUUUCGGAGCUAACGCGUUAAGUAGACCGCCUGGGGAGUACGGUCGCAAGAUUAAAACUCAAAUGAAUUGACGGGGGCCCGCACAAGCGGUGGAGCAUGUGGUUUAAUUCGAUGCAACGCGAAGAACCUUACCUACUCUUGACAUCCAGAGAACUUUUCAGAGAUGAAUUGGUGCCUUCGGGAACUCUGGAGACAGGUGCUGCAUGGCUGUCGUCAAGCUCGUGUUGUGAAAUGUUGGGUUAAGUCCCGCAACGAGCGCAACCCUUAUCCUUGUUUGCCAGCGAGUAAUGUCGGGAACUCCAGGGAGACUGCCGGUGAUAAACCGGAGGAAGGUGGGGACGACGUCAAGUCAUCAUGGCCCUUACGAGUAGGGCUACACACGUGCUACAAUGGCGCAUACAGAGGGCGGCCAACUUGCGAAAGUGAGCGAAUCCCAAAAAGUGCGUCGUAGUCCGGAUUGGAGUCUGCAACUCGACUCCAUGAAGUCGGAAUCGCUAGUAAUCGUGGAUCAGAAUGCCACGGUGAAUACGUUCCCGGGCCUUGUACACACCGCCCGUCACACCAUGGGAGUGGGCUGCAAAAGAAGUAGGUAGUUUAACCUUCGGGGGGACGCUUACCACUUUGUGGUUCAUGACUGGGGUGAAGUCGUAAAAAGGUUAACCAAAACA